Molecule: long non-coding RNA, 625 nt
Organism: Acanthochromis polyacanthus (spiny chromis)
Lineage: Eukaryota; Metazoa; Chordata; Actinopteri; Pomacentridae
Exons: 2
Source: RefSeq, a predicted model, not a curated record
UAAAGUGCGCACAGGGGAGGGUUCUGAAGAUUCAGGUCCCUCUGGACAAAAUGUGCAAAUGUAGAGUCGGGUCAAAGACCAGAAACUGAAGCCAUUGGGCAAAACUGGGCAAGAAGAUGGGACCAACCUUGCACAUGCUGCUAGAACAUCCCAACUACAACCACUUUAGAAUCACCAAUUACCCUACAGAGAUCUCAUCUGUAUGUUUACUAGAACCGAGAUAUUAAUUUGGUCUCUUAUUUAUUUGUUUUCUGUGUCUCAUACACAAUCAAUGCACAUAAAGAAAACUGUAAUCUAAUGGGCUACUCAAUAAGUUCAAAUCUAAAAAUACAAACACGAUUAAGGUCACAAACAGAUUAAGUUCAAACAACAGCAUGUUUAUUGUACAUAAAUAGCCCGUGUCACACAAAAACAUCAGCAUGCCUACAAAAAGCAGCGGUAGAUAUUAACCCAGUUAUUUCAGAGAGAUGCCUCUCAUUCAGGCUCAUGUGCCGCACAUUCCAACAACAAAUACAGCAGCGAGAUGAUCCGUUCUCACAGCUUUGAGAUCAGUGCCAUGUUUACUUGUACAACAUAUUAAACUAGUGCAAAGAUAUAUACAGUACAGCUGUGCUUUAUAUCUGCA